GAUCAUUACCGAGUUUUCAACUCCCUAAACCCAAAUGUGAACAUACCAUGUCGUUGCCUCGGCGGACUCGUCCCGGCGCCCGGACGGCCCUCGCGCCGGCCCGCGGCCCGGAUCCACGGCGGCCGCCGAAGACCCCUGAAACUUCUGUCAUCAGCAGUCUCUUCUGAACAAGCCGCAAGGCGAAAGCAAAAUGAAUCAAAACUUUCAACAACGGAUCUCUUGGUUCUGGCAUCGAUGAAGAACGCAGCGAAAUGCGAUAAGUAAUGUGAAUUGCAGAAUUCAGUGAAUCAUCGAAUCUUUGAACGCACAUUGCGCCCGCCAGUACUCUGGCGGGCAUGCCUGUUCGAGCGUCAUUUCAACCCUCGAGCCCCCUCUGGGGGGCCCGGCGUUGGGGAUCGGCAGCACACCGCCGUCCCUGAAAUGGAGUGGCGGCCCGUCCGCGGCGACCUCUGCGCAGUACAACCACUCGCACCGGGACCCUGGGCGCGGCCACGCCGUAAAACACCCAACUCUCCGAACGUUGACCUCGAAUCAGGUAGGACUACCCGCUGAACCUAAGCAUAUCA
This 566-nucleotide unclassified non-coding RNA is filed under the name Niveomyces insectorum. Its description in RNAcentral is "Sporothrix insectorum sequence contains 18S rRNA gene, ITS1, 5.8S rRNA gene, ITS2, 28S rRNA gene". The stretch from base 200 to 353 matches the Rfam family "5.8S ribosomal RNA". The record is from RNAcentral. Lineage: Eukaryota; Fungi; Ascomycota; Sordariomycetes; Hypocreales; Cordycipitaceae.